Cyprinus carpio (common carp) is the source of this 873-nucleotide long non-coding RNA. NCBI's taxonomy places the organism in Eukaryota, Metazoa, Chordata, Actinopteri, Cypriniformes, Cyprinidae. The record is from Ensembl.
GAUGUUGCCUCUUAUCAUAUCUCUCCUGAGCUCCCCAAACCUCCCAAACAGAGUAAAACCGUAGUGCUCUGAGCUAUUUCUAUCAUAAAUGUAAUGGUUUCUCAGUUUUGUCUCAUUAAUUAAGAGGUGAUGAAGGUAGUGAUCUCAUUGGGAAGAGUUUCUGGAACGGUAGCGGGGGAAGGAGGGAAGGUCUCUAUCCCACUGUGAGGCCACAUUCUUGGCUCUGCAUAGCUCCAGAGACGUCACCCGGGUCAUGAGGUGUUUCACAUAACAAGGACGUUUUGAUGUUAAAGGCAAUUCAUCAAGCAUUACUUCUGCUCCCAGAGGCCAUAACAGCACAGAGCAAAGAGGAAAAUGGACUCUUAUCAGGAUUGCACAAUAUAAUCCUUAUUUUAUCUUAACAGAUCCAUUCUCUUUCCACUUUGUUUGCAACAUCAGAUAGCAGGCCCUCAAUGUGUUCAAAAUGGGAGCUUUCCAAAAGAUAGAGGAAUUUGGGUCACAUUUUAUAAUAACUCCACUCAUGUGCUACUUUAACUAAUCUGCAGAUUCAAAAUAAUCCCCUAAUGCUGUAAUAACCCUUUAUAUAAUUAUGUAUGGCUUUUAUUUGCAAUACAUGUAAUAGUUCGUAUAAGCACAACUGUGGAAACGUUCAGCGGUCCAUCUGGCUGGAGUUAGCAUGGACAUUUUUCCCAAACUGGUUGUGAAUCACUGGAAGGAUCAUGACCUACAGGGCAAUGGAGGGAAUCUGUGAUGGACCUCCCAGAAGUUUCCACAAAUCAGCCCCAUUUUGUCCCCCAACACACUUUAAGGAUUGUUUGUUUAUCCAAAAACUUAUUUCAUAAACUCCAUCAGCAAGGGUGAAAAUAUCAGGGC